Nicotiana tabacum (common tobacco) is the source of this 648-nucleotide non-coding RNA. NCBI's taxonomy places the organism in Eukaryota, Viridiplantae, Streptophyta, Magnoliopsida, Solanales, Solanaceae. The record is from RefSeq and is a predicted model, not a curated record.
ACAGAAAGGAAAAAUAAGAGAAAUUAACAAAAAGAACAGAAAGGGAACAACAAUUGCAUUCAGAGAAUCUUGAUCCUGGGUGUUGUGCAUGGAAUUUCAGCACUUCAACCAUGGCACCUUCAAUCAUUUUGUGAUUUGGGAUGCCACUUGUUCCCUAUGUAGGUAUUUUUGUGGAAAAUACUAGUACGUAUAUAAAACUUUAUCCGAACGAUCAGGUAGCGUGCCACUCCCGACUCAAUACAUAGAUCCGUCGCUGCCUUCAUGCAUGGCAAAGUGCGCUCUAUUAGGCGAUUGCCCCUCUAUGGCAUGUUUCCAGUCUUUUGCUUCAAUUGCGGCUGAUAAAAGUGGUGUUUGUAACCAUGAAUGCGCUUAUGGAAGAUGCAUGAACUAUAUUCUCCUUAACGACAAAGAGAAGUUCGGCAGUUGUAUGGCUAUUUGUCAAGCAAACUACUGUUCAGCAAAGGCAUCUGUUUGAAUAAGUUUUUGUUGUGUUGUAUCCGUGCGCCACAAAUUAGUAUACAUAUGUAUACUACUGGUCUUAUUACAUAAUGUGGUUAGUAUAAAUUUGAAAUAAUUGUAAUCGUUUGUAAACCGAUGUAGUUAUCUUUAUGGGCACCUAUUAAAUAAUUAUGUUGGCUAUGUUAUUAA